This 253-nucleotide ribosomal RNA is filed under the name uncultured bacterium. RNAcentral describes it as "partial 16S ribosomal RNA". It matches the Rfam family "Bacterial small subunit ribosomal RNA", at positions 524 to 776 of the family's 1533-position model. The record is from RNAcentral.
CACGUAGGGCGCAAGCGUUGUCCGGAAUUAUUGGGCGUAUAGAGCUCGUAGGCGGUCUGUUGCGUCCGCUGUGAAAUCUCGGGGCUUAACCCCGAGCCUGCAGUGGAUACGGGCAGACUAGAGGUAGGUAGGGGAGAAUGGAAUUCCCGGUGUAGCGGUGAAAUGCGCAGAUAUCGGGAGGAACACCGGUGGCGAAGGCGGUUCUCUGGGCCUUACCUGACGCUGAGGCACGAAGGCCAGGGGAGCAAACGGG